This is a non-coding RNA of Myotis brandtii (Brandt's bat), 76 nucleotides long. NCBI's taxonomy places the organism in Eukaryota, Metazoa, Chordata, Mammalia, Chiroptera, Vespertilionidae. The record is from Rfam.
GGCAGUUCUCGGGAGAUGCACCCUGGAAUUGGGCUCCCUCUUAUCUGGUUCUAGGGUGCAUGACCUGAGAACCGCC